RNAcentral lists this long non-coding RNA (2758 nucleotides) under Taeniopygia guttata (zebra finch). RNAcentral describes it as "lncRNA (ENSTGUG00000021094.1)". Lineage: Eukaryota; Metazoa; Chordata; Aves; Passeriformes; Estrildidae. The record is from RNAcentral.
UUUUGGGAGGCCUUAGCCAAUUGGAGGCUGCAGCAGCACGCAGAGAGAAAGCAUGUCUGACUUCUGUGAGGUGUUGUUUUGUUUUUUUUAAUAAUAAUAAGUGAUUAAUAAUCUGCUGAGAGCUGUAUGAAAUCUCUUUAGAUAAGGUUAGGAGGAGGAGAUUCCCCAGUGCUGCUUAUAGCUGAACCACAGCUGUAAUACUCUGCCAUAAAGCCUGUGUGGAUUCCUAGUAAGAUGGAUGCUCUACAUAAAUUGAAGAUUUUGGUGAUGUUUUUGUCUCUGGCUACUUUCAUGAUCAUGGUGAUAAUGAAUGCUGGAAAUGCCACUGGGAUUUUCAAAGGUCUGUUCAGGACAACCCCUGGAAACAUCUCAGCCAAGUACAGCACAGAUUUCACACCAGCUGGCUGGACUUUCCUCAUCUGGAAUGUCAUCUACGCCUGGCAGCUCGCCUGGCUUCUCUACGCCUUGUCAGGGAUCUGCAGAAGGAAUGAACUUGGAUAUGUCUUCAUGAAGCCAGACUUGCUGCCAAUACCUUUUUAUGUGGCGUGGUGUCUGAAUAAUGGCCUCAAUGUUGGAUGGCUCUUUCUGUGGGACCGAGAAUACCUCCUUCCAGCCCUGGUGUUCCUGGCAGUCCUGUCCCUUACCACAUGUGCCUGCCUGUUUGUCUCCCACCGAGCCUUGAGCAUCCAUUCCUCGUGGUUUGUGAAGGCUAACAAGGCUGAGCUCUGGCUCAUCCGCAUUCUGGUGCAGAACGGGCUGGCUCUGUACCUGACGUGGACCAGCAUCGCCACGCUGCUCAACUUCGCCGUGGUGCUCAUCCACAAGUGGAACGUGCCCAGCGAGAAAGCGACCACUGCUUCCCUGAGCAUCCUGGCUCUCAGCCUGGUGAUAUGGUUUUAUCUAGAAAAUUACCUUCUCGACAAGUACGUCCGCUAUAACCUCACAGUCUACCCCGUGGUCAUAGCAGCUCUGACAGGCAGCGCCUGUGGGAACGGCUCCUUCUCAUCCCCACUGACCAACCACGUUUUCAUAGUUGUUCUGCUGGCACUGACGUGUUUGAUCUUUGCUGUUCGGCUGGGACUGGUUGUGUGGAGACACUGGAAGAGACCACUGGAAGCAUGAGAACCCUGAGGCCCAUCAGGCACAGUGACCUGAGACCUCUGGCACAUUGUGGGUGAUGCUUGAAAGGGAGAAAAAAGAAUUGGGCAUGUGCUGGCUCUUGUUCCUGUAUCCAUUCCCUUCUGCAUUUCUCUCUUAUUCUCUGUUCCAAAUGCAGAUGUCUUGUGUCCGCAAAUGUGUCUUGCUCCCACAUUCUCUCAGAUCAGUUACUCACAACCCUGUCUUGAGUUCCUUUGGUUUUAUCCUGGAAAAGUUCAGGAAAAGCAGCCCUGUGCAGCUUUGUGAUGCCUGGGCUGUGGCUCUCUUCUCCUGCCAGUGCAAGCAGGGCUGCCAACAGGCACCCAGCAGGCCUGCACACACAGUUUUUCCUGUUUUUCCCUUGGUAUCUCACUUUCUUGGAAGUGCAGACCCAAGUGACCUGUCCCUGGGGUUCCAGGUGGGAGAGCUGUCAUUCAUUGCCUUGGCCAUCAGGGCUGAGCAUCCUCAAGCCCUGGUGCUGUCAGCAGAUCUCCUGCAGGCAGCCACUGCUCCUUUCCUGCUUCUCUGCAGCAUGACAGGGGCAGAGACUAGGAUUUGACAUCUGCCUUUGCAGUGUCAGCUCUGCAGUUUGAUGUUCAAGGGGGCAGGGGGAGGGACUGAAGGUUUCUGACACAAAGGUGUUGGUGUUGCCUUUCCCUGAGCUGGGCACAGCUUGGGCUGGCUGGAUGUCUCUCACUGGGGGAGUUUGUGGCUACUCUGGAAGGAGCUCAGAUGUACAGAUGAGCUGGUCCCUGAUCUGGGGUGAAGCCUGAUGCUUCAAAGGAAGCCUGUUAAAAAAAAAAUAAAUAAAAAUUGAACAGGUAGAGCAAGUUCAUCCUGGAUCAGUGCCUUCUCAUGUGGCUUCACCACUUCUGAGUUGGGAUUAGGAAGCCUAAAACUGGAUUGACUGAAUUUUUGGACCACUGCCUUUCCUUCCUGUGCCUAAUUGAGAGCUGGUGGUGCCUCACAGGUGUCUGGAAAGUCUUGGCACCAGGAAGGUGCUUUCAGUGCAUCUUGCAGUAUUAUUAACAAAGCUAAAUUCUAAAAUAACAUGUGCUGUUGUUUACAUUUAGCAAAAAGCAAAAGCAGUGUAAUGCAUCUCCCCUCAUCAUUCUGGUGUGUUGUUUUUUUUUUUUUUUUCUAUUUUUUAAUUUUAAAAUAAGUCAGCUCAUUCUAUCACUCUGCAACUAACUCUGUAAAUCAUCUAAAGCAGCUGUCCUGGCCCCUUCCUCACUCAUGCCCAGGGCUCCAGAGUGACUCUGGUCCCUUGCUGGAAUCUCAUGGAGGUGAAGAGUUGGAGGAUGUAGAUUGCUAGGUAUGAUUUAAACUCCUUUGACCAGCACACUGUUCAUUAAGUUUCUAUUUUAUAGGCUCUGCCUCCCAAGAUCCCAGCUAAUAAAUUCCCAGCAGCCUCUCCCUAAGCUGCCUUCUUUAAUACAGGGGAAUUAAAGCCACUGGCAGGGGGAUUAAGGGGUCCAGGCAAGGUGAGAAGCUGCUGUGAGGCUGUGCAGCAGUUCAUGCAUGGCAGGGUUUUGCAGCCUCCCUCUUGCAGCAAGAGCACUGCAAAGAGCUCCUGGGCCAGGGCAGCUGCACUUUCCCAUUAAAAAAUGCCUUAUCAGGA